CACAUCGCCUACUUAUAGACUUUGAGAUCUUUUUAUAAUCUGUUAGCUCCUUCAACCUUAACACUUGGAUUUUAAGGUUGGGCUUGGAUUUCUAACAUGGUAUCGGAGCCUAAUCCCUUUCUUUUAGGUUGUUUCUCACAAGCUUAUGUGGAGAUGGGCUUUUAAAUGUUAACAAAAAUUCUUCUUAGCCUCUUAUCCAACAUUGCUUGCUUAUAGACUUUGGGACCUCUUUAUAACUUGUUAACCUGUCUACCCUUAACACCUGGGUUUUAAGGUUA
RNAcentral lists this unclassified non-coding RNA (278 nucleotides) under Hevea brasiliensis (rubber tree). Lineage: Eukaryota; Viridiplantae; Streptophyta; Magnoliopsida; Malpighiales; Euphorbiaceae. The record is from RNAcentral.